CCUGCGAAGGCAAGCGGAUCUCUUAAAGCUGUUCUCAGUUCGGACUGCAGUCUGCAACUCGACUGCACGAAGCUGGAAUCGCUAGUAAUCGCGGAUCAGCACGCCGCGGUGAAUACGUUCCCGGGCCUUGUACACACCGCCCGUCACACCAUGAGAGUUGGGGAUACCCGAAGCCUGUGAGCCAACAGUUAAAUGGGGCAGCAGUCGAAGGUAGAAUCAAUGAUUGGGGUGAAGUCGUAACAAGGUACC
This 249-nucleotide ribosomal RNA is filed under the name uncultured bacterium. RNAcentral describes it as "partial 16S ribosomal RNA". It matches the Rfam family "Bacterial small subunit ribosomal RNA", at positions 1254 to 1500 of the family's 1533-position model. The record is from RNAcentral.